ACAAUUUGGUAGUGAAAGGAGAGUUCCGUGGUUCAGGUUAGAUUGGCUGCAGAUUUAUUCGCCAACACUCCCCUUGGGACAAACGGAGUAACUUUUGCUGGAUCCCACCUCUGCACCGCUGAAGCCAUUUCUGGCAGGUCUGGAAAUGGUAAGGAAUCCUCCGGAAGGUUAAGUAUUUGUAGAGCUUGUUAUGAGCGCCACCGGUAAUGAAUAUUGCACUAUUUAAGCAGUGCUGUGAAGGGCCGUAGAGAUCGUCUCCAUUGGAGAGUGUCACCCGAGAGA
Non-coding RNA from Pelobates cultripes (western spadefoot toad), 282 nucleotides. The record is from the annotation of a GenBank genome assembly. NCBI's taxonomy places the organism in Eukaryota, Metazoa, Chordata, Amphibia, Anura, Pelobatidae.